UACGUAGGGUGCGAGCGUUGUCCGGAAUUACUGGGCGUAAAGAGCUCGUAGGUGGUUUGUCGCGUUGUUCGUGAAAACUCACAGCUCAACUGUGGGCGUGCGGGCGAUACGGGCAGACUGGAGUACUGCAGGGGAGACUGGAAUUCCUGGUGUAGCGGUGAAAUGCGCAGAUAUCAGGAGGAACACCGGUGGCGAAGGCGGGUCUCUGGGCCGAUACUGACGCUGAGGAGCGAAAGCGUGGGGAGUGAACAGG
RNAcentral lists this ribosomal RNA (253 nucleotides) under uncultured bacterium. Its description in RNAcentral is "partial 16S ribosomal RNA". It matches the Rfam family "Bacterial small subunit ribosomal RNA", at positions 524 to 776 of the family's 1533-position model. The record is from RNAcentral.